AUGCAAAUUGACCCUCUUCUAUUUGUCACUCUUCCUGAUGGAGAUGACAUACCUCGACAUGUUCCUACAUCCUCAAGCAAUCAAAGGGACCUUGAUUCUUGUAUUGAUUUAUUGCUAAAGUUACAUUGUCAUAGGUUCAAUAUGACGCAAAAUAGGGCUAAGUGGACAGCAAGGUAUGAGAAAGGUCUCGUGGAGGUACUUACAGAGUACAAUCUAUCUCAUUACCGUGGCCAAAAUGGGUGGACUAUCGAAGGAUGGAAUCAAGUUGUCAAGGAACUGAACAAUUUAUAUCCAGAGACAAGGUUUACCAAGGAUCAGGUUCAAGAUAAGGAAGCUCAGUUGAAAAAGCACUACAAAAAUAUCAAGUUGAUAGUCAACCGCUCUGGAAUAUCAUGGAAUGAUAUUGCAUGUGUGAUCAACACCACGCCUGAAGAAUGGGAAGAGAUCAUUGCAGAGGACCCAAAGCUCAAAAUGUAUGAAGGAAAGAGCUUUCCAUUGUACGAGGCAUUGGGUGUGCUCUAUGAAGGACACAUUGCGCAAGGAAGACAUUGCCUCACAUCAAGGAAGCCUCCAACUGGCACAAAAACAGGUAGCAACUUUGGAGCGAAGGAUAAGAUGGUUGCAAGCACUAGCAAGAAAAAUACAAGACAUGGAAGAGAUGACAACAUAAGGACUUCUUCAAUAAUUGACAUCAAUGAUACUCCUACAUUAGAUGAUGUGGAUGAAAGAGAGAACACUGUCAAUGACGAGGAAGAAUUAGGCAGUGAAGAUGCUGAUGGUGAUCAACCACAAAUAAGUGAAUCAAGUGCCAAAGGGGAAAAACUAAGAAACAAAAAGGUGCCACAUCUGUACAGCGGCUUGAAGAUUCCAUGA
This 873-nucleotide ribosomal RNA is filed under the name Triticum aestivum (bread wheat). RNAcentral's name for it is "partial small subunit ribosomal RNA". Lineage: Eukaryota; Viridiplantae; Streptophyta; Magnoliopsida; Poales; Poaceae. The record is from RNAcentral.